This is a long non-coding RNA of Eriocheir sinensis (Chinese mitten crab), 2315 nucleotides long. RefSeq lists it as uncharacterized. The transcript has 3 exons. Lineage: Eukaryota; Metazoa; Arthropoda; Malacostraca; Decapoda; Varunidae. The record is from RefSeq and is a predicted model, not a curated record.
AAGGCGAGAGAGAGAGAGAGAGAGAGAGAAGCUGUCGGUAACGCUAAUAAACAGGUCCUCAGCCUUAACCGCCCGACCACCCGCCCGACAGCUACCAACAAAACCCUCGAAAACUCUGCAUAUCUCUACUCCUAUCUUCUUUAGGUCCUGGAGGCGGCGUGCUUCUGUGCCUCUCUGUUCCCCUGACCCUCGAAACCGCUCCCGUUGUCUCACUUUUCCGCCUUUUCGCCGUUUUUUGUUCUUGGGAAGGGACGUUAGCCGCCGCCCCGCUACGCCGCGCCCUGCCCCGCCAUUUGCCUAUCGCCUGACCCGUUGUAAAGUUAAGUGGCUGUGGCCUGGCGGGAAGGCGCUUGUGGUUGGGAGAAGUGUGAGGAUGGCCUACCGCUGGUCCUCUUCCUCCUCCUCUUCUGCCUUAUCUUGCUAAUUUAUUCCUUUUUACUGCAUUUUUCCUCCUCCUUCAUGUCUUUGUUCUUCCGCACUUCAAUUUUCUCCUUAUUCUUCCUCCUCCUCCUGCUCCUCUUCCUCUGCCUUUCCUAAUUUAUUCCUUUUUACUGCAUUUUUUCCUCCCUUCAUGUCUUUCUUCCGUUCUCUUCAUUCCUUCUAUUCCUCCUCCUCCUCUUCCUCUUCUUCUGUUUUCCUAAUUUAUUCCUUUUAGUGCUUUUUCCUUUCCUUCAUGUCUGUUUUUCCAUUCUCUUCAUUCCUCCUAUUCCUCCUCCUCCUCCUCCUCGUUGCUCCCUAUACCAAUAAAGUAGUGGAUGAGUGGAACAGGCUUGGCAGUAAGUUGAGUGGUAAUGCAAUAGAUACAUUCAUGAGAUAGUGUGGUUAGGUGGGGUUGGGUUUACAAGAGCUAGAUAAAUUCAUGGAUUGUGUGGUUAGGUGGGGCUGGGUUUACAAGAGCUAGAUAAAGUCAUGGAUUGUGUGAUUAGGUGGGGCUGGGUUUACAAGAGCUAGAUAAAGUCAUGGAUUGUGUGAUUAGGUGGGGUUGGGUUUACAAGAGCUAGAUAAAUUCAUGGAUUGUGUGAUUAGGUGGGGUUGGGUUUACAAGAGCUAGAUAAAUUCAUGGAUUGUGUGAUUAGGUGGGGGUUGGGUUUACAAGAGCUAGAUAAAGUCAUGGAUUGUGUGAUUAGGUGGGGUUGGGUUUACAGGAGCUGCGUUGCAUAGUCCUGCCGAUCUCUUGCAGACUCUUAUGUUUAUGUUCUUUAUUCUUCUUCUUCAUCCUCUCAUUUUACUUUACUUCCUUCAUCACAUUUAUAUUCCCUCACAGUCUACCUGAUUGUUUACUUCUUCUUCGUCGUCGUCUUCGUCUUAUUAUUAAAAAGGUUGUUUAUUUUUUACUUUAAUGCAUGUAGUUUCUCUUCCUUCUCCUUCUGAUUGUUUACUUCUUCUUCCUCUUCUUCUUCUUCGUUGUCGUCGUCGUCGUCUUCGUCUUAUUAUUAAAAAGGUUGUUUAUUUUUUACUUUAAUGCAUGUAGCCUUUCUCCCUUCUUUUUCUGUCCUUUUUUUAAUAUUUUCUUCCUCUCGUUUAUCCUUUUCUCCCUUUCCCUUUAUCUCUUCCCACUUUAUAACACUUUUAGUCCCUUCUCAUAUUAUUCAUUCUCAUUCACCUCCACUUCUUCCUUCUCUUCCUGGCCUCACUCCUCUCCCUCACACCCUUCCUUGAUCUUUACUGCUCUCCUGCUUACACCUUCUUCUGCCCAUCAUGUAUUCCUCCUUUCAUUAAUGUGUUGCCUUCAUUCUUUAUUAAAUUUAUUCCUUGCCCUCUCUUCUUCUUCUUCUCUUCUCCGAGCUAUUUCCUCUUCUUCCCCUCAUCUUUUAAGCCCUUCCUUCACCUGUCUCCCCUCUCUUAUAUCUCCUCCUCCUCCUCCUCCUCCUCCUCCUCCUCCUCCUCCUCCUCCUCCUUCCCUUCAAUCUUCACCUCUUCACACUUACCUUUCCUCCAUCCCUCAUUCAUUCAUCACUCCUUCAUUAUUCCUCCUCCUCCUCCUCCUCCUCCUUCUCCUCCUCUUCCUCAUUUGUUUACCUCUCUACCUCCCUCUCGGCACCUUCCCCCUCCUUCCACCUGUGACACUCUUCUCCUCCUCCUCCUCCUCCUCUUCCUUCUCCUCCUGCUUCCUUCAUUUGUUUAUAUCAUGCCUCCUUUCCUUCCCUCCUAAACCUUUCGGCACCUCCCUUCUUCCUCCACCUGUGGCACUCCUCCUCCCCCUCUCCUCCUCCUCCUCCUCCUCCUCCUCCUCCUGACCUUGCCCUGGGCCUCCUCCCACCCCCAAAUACGGAACCACUCACUCAGCCGCUACGUAAACACACACACACACACAC